Molecule: ribosomal RNA, 491 nt
Filed under: uncultured bacterium
Lineage: Bacteria
Description: partial 16S ribosomal RNA
Rfam family: Bacterial small subunit ribosomal RNA
Source: RNAcentral
AGUGAACGCUGGCGGUAGGCCUAACACAUGCAAGUCGAACGGCAGCACAGUAAGAGCUUGCUCUUACGGGUGGCGAGUGGCGGACGGGUGAGGAAUCCAUCGGAAUCUACUUUUUCGUGGGGGAUAACGUAGGGAAACUUACGCUAAUACCGUAUACGACCUACGGGUGAAAGCAGGGGAUCUUCGGACCUUGCGCGAUUGAAUGAGCCAUUGUCGGAUUAGCUAGUUGGCGGGGUAAAGACCCACCAAGGCGACGAUCCGUCGCUGGUAUGAGAGGAUGAUUAGCGACUCUGGAACUGAGACAUGGUCCCGAUCCGAACGGGAGGAAGAGUUGGGGAAUUUUCGACAUUGGGCGCAAGCCUCUACCACCCAUACCGGGAGGGUGAAGAAGUCCUUCGGGUUGUAAAGCCCUUUUGUUUGGAAAGAAAAGCAGCAGGUUAAUACCCCGCUUUUCUGACGGUACCCAAAGAAUAAACACCGGCGAACUUCGU